This 357-nucleotide transfer-messenger RNA is filed under the name Hyphomonas sp. 34-62-18. It matches the Rfam family "Alphaproteobacteria transfer-messenger RNA". Rfam says of the family: Bacterial tmRNA, also known as 10Sa RNA or SsrA, is named for its dual tRNA and mRNA-like properties. Its role is to liberate the mRNA from a stalled ribosome. To accomplish this part of the tmRNA is used as a reading frame that ends in a translation stop signal. Lineage: Bacteria; Pseudomonadati; Pseudomonadota; Alphaproteobacteria; Hyphomonadales; Hyphomonadaceae. The record is from RNAcentral.
GGGCUUACCUUUGCGCCCGCGAUCCCCUAUAUUGGCCCGGUCUUCGGACUAUGGCGAUAAACGCGCGUGUAAUAAGCGGCUCGGACCCGGGGGCGGUACCCGGCGGCUCCACCACAAGCAGACCUCUCCGAAGGUCUGUUUCUGACGGGGCCGAAAUAGUGUCGACGGACGUGUAAAGACGAGGCUUUCGCUCGCAUGAGCUGCGUUAGAAGCUCACAAGCAAAUAGUUGCAAACGACAACUUUGCUGAAGGCGAACUGAUGGCUGCGUAAGCGGCCGGAUGUUUUCCGACCUUAACUCCUAGGGUAUCAGACCCCUAGGCGGGGCCCGGAGGCGCCUGGCAACAGAAGCCUCCACC